This 731-nucleotide ribosomal RNA is filed under the name uncultured bacterium. RNAcentral's name for it is "bacterial SSU rRNA". It matches the Rfam family "Bacterial small subunit ribosomal RNA", at positions 61 to 808 of the family's 1533-position model. The record is from RNAcentral.
GUCGUACGGGAGUUUAUAACUCAAGUGGCGGACGGGUGAGUAACACGUGAGAAUUUACCUUUAGGAGGGGGAUAAUAGUAGUGAUACAUGAUAAAAUACCCCCAUAUGCUUUUAAGUAAAAAAAGAUUUUAUCUGCCUAAAAGAAAAGCUCGCGGCUGAUUAGCUUGUUGGUAAGGUAAUGGCUUACCCAAGGCCGACGAUCAGUAUCUUGGUUUGAGAGGGACGAUCAGACCACACCUGGAACUGAGGACACGGUCCCAGGACUCUCUGCGGGAGGGCAGGCAGUGGGGAAUUUUCCGCCAAUGGGCGAAAGCCUGACGGCGCAAUACCGNCGGGGAGGGGAAGACGGCCCAUGGGUUGUAAACCUUUUUUUUUCAGUGGGGGAAACAAAUGACGUGUAGCUGAAGAAUAAGCAUCGGCUAACUCCGUGCCAGCAGCCGCGGUAAGACGGAGGAUGCAAGUGUUAUCCGGAAUCACUGGGCGUAAAGCGUCUGUAGGUGGUUAAAUAAGUCAACUGUUAAAUCUUGAAGCUUAACUUCAAAAUUGCAGUCGAAACUAUUCGACUAGAGUAUAGUAGGGGUAAAGGGAAUUUCCAGUGGAGCGGUGAAAUGCGUAGAUAUUGGAAAGAACACCGAUGGCGAAAGCACUUUACUGGGCUAUUACUAACACUCAGAGACGAAAGCUAGGGUAGCAAAUGGGAUUAGAUACCCCAGUAGUCCUUGCCGUAAACA